Molecule: ribosomal RNA, 465 nt
Filed under: uncultured Klebsiella sp.
Lineage: Bacteria; Pseudomonadati; Pseudomonadota; Gammaproteobacteria; Enterobacterales; Enterobacteriaceae
Description: bacterial SSU rRNA
Rfam family: Bacterial small subunit ribosomal RNA
Source: RNAcentral
CCUACGGGAGGCAGCAGUGGGGAAUAUUGCACAAUGGGCGCAAGCCUGAUGCAGCCAUGCCGCGUGUGUGAAGAAGGCCUUCGGGUUGUAAAGCACUUUCAGCGGGGAGGAAGGCGUUAAGGUUAAUAACCUUGUCGAUUGACGUUACCCGCAGAAGAAGCACCGGCUAACUCCGUGCCAGCAGCCGCGGUAAUACGGAGGGUGCAAGCGUUAAUCGGAAUUACUGGGCGUAAAGCGCACGCAGGCGGUCUGUCAAGUCGGAUGUGAAAUCCACGGGCUCAACCUGGGAACUGCAUUCGAAACUGGCAGGCUAGAGUCUUGUAGAGGGGGGUAGAAUUCCAGGUGGAGCGGUGAAAUGCGUAGAGAUCUGGAGGAAUACCGGUGGCGAAGGCGGCCCCCUGGACAAAGACUGACGCUCAGGUGCGAAAGCGUGGGGAGCAAACAGGAUUAGAUACCCUAGUAGUC